This 1209-nucleotide long non-coding RNA is filed under the name Erythranthe guttata (spotted monkey flower). RNAcentral's name for it is "long non-coding RNA (EGUT_LNC001162)". The record is from RNAcentral. Lineage: Eukaryota; Viridiplantae; Streptophyta; Magnoliopsida; Lamiales; Phrymaceae.
GUAUCAAAACGACGACUAUGUGCACUCCGAGCAAGCAUAAACCCAUAAGUACGUCUUCGCUAGUUGCAUCUAUAUCGUCCAUGGAUUUGUUGAUAUGUUUUGGCUAAAUCGACUAUCACGUUUGUAUAAUUGCAGAUCUGUUAUAAUCGCAUACCAAAUUCGAGCAAUCAAUCGCUGAUUUUUCAACUUUUGAUGGGCAGGACAACCACCAUAAAAGGUCACCCAUUACUAUGUUUAUGUUUAACUGCGACGUGAUAGUCUAUUUGAGAUUUUUUUUCGGAUAAUCUGUAUAUAUUUGCUUAUCUAACAUACUCAGUAAAAUGUUGCAGUCAUCGAAGCAUCGAAAAUGGCAGAUGACAUUAUGCUGCUAAACGCGGGUGAGCAAUUGAUAUCCCCUAUUGAUACAUAUAAGAAAAUUGUAUAGUCGAGUAAAACGUCAAUAAUCGGAUCUGUGUUUUAGAUAACGUGCUGUUUGUCCGUAGUGUAUUUAAUCUCAUGGGUUUAUUCAUGUUAUAGAUUGUAAUUAAAUCGAUGAAUGUGAUAGUUGGUUAAUGAAAUUCGAUAGUACAUUAAGGUAUUAGUAGUCAGAUUUGUGUUUUAGAUAGCGUGCUGUUUGUCCGUAGUGUAAUUACUCUCAUGGGUUUAUUCAUGUUAUACAUUGUGAUUAAAUCGAAUCUAUGUGAUAGUUGGUUAAUGAAGUCCGGUAGUAUAUUAGGAUAUUAAUAGUCGGUUAUGUGUCUUAGAUAGUGUGGUGUUUGUCCGUAAUAUAAUUAAUCUCAUGGGUAUUUUGAUGUUUUACAUUUUGUCAAGAUACUAUUGUGUAUGUGAUGUUUGGUUGAUAAAUCUGAUAGUAUAUUAUAAUAGUCUGACAGCAUGCUGUGUUAAUUCGUUGUUACAAUGAGAUGUUAUUUAGAAGAAAUUCAGACCGAGAUGUUAUGAAUUGAGAUAGUAUGCUAAUAUAAAAUUUGUGUUGUUAUGAAUCUAUAUAUUAAUUGUAGAACGAGUAUUAAUAUACCAUUACUUUAGAAAUGAAUUGUUGGUCGCUUAACUACACUGCAGUUUUAGUUAUGCGUGCUUGUGUAGUUAUGUGUAUGCCUAUGAUAUGUUUAAUUGUUAUCAAUAUUUGUUGCGUAUUUUAUGUUUCUCAUAAUUACACAAUUUUACGUACUUUACAGCCGAAUCAAACCUAAUGGCACAAAUAGAACUAGA